Molecule: long non-coding RNA, 772 nt
Filed under: Malus domestica (apple)
Lineage: Eukaryota; Viridiplantae; Streptophyta; Magnoliopsida; Rosales; Rosaceae
Description: long non-coding RNA (MDOM_LNC018449)
Source: RNAcentral
GGGCAGCCACGGGAUAUUGAAUGCAAAGAGGUGUUGCAUUUGCCAACCCCGAGGCCGAGAGCUCCUUAAUUGUACAAUUGUCCGCUGCCAUGACUUCUUCUUCAAAUUCUUCUUCAAAUUCAGAUUCGGCCUCUGAACUUGAACUAGGUUCACUAGGUUCCGGAUGCCUCCUCUUUCUUCUUCUCAAAUCUCGUUCAAAAUCGUCGUUAAAAUUCAAGAUAUGUUCACGAACCGGAUGGGUACUCCGAGUCAUAAACUAGUACCUAAACAAAGAAAACAAAACAAAAUCAGAAAACUAGUAAAAGACACACAAAACACACGGUAAACCCAAGGGAUUAGCAAGUUUGCUAAUCCCCGGCAACGGCGCCAAAAUUUGAUGUGAAAAUUAACUUGACACACAAAUUAAACCCUAUUGAUGACAAUUGUAGUAAUGAUACAAGUAGGGAUUGUUCUAGACCGGGGAUUAACUAGGGAUGCUAAUCAACACAAAUAAGACUCAAAAACACUAAACUAGACUCUAUAGACUCAAAACUAACUCAAAACACUCAAAACAGCAAGAAACAAUAAAAAAAAACUCAAUUCUAGACCUAAUAAGUGAUUUGGACGAAAAUAGAACUUAAAAGACUCAAAAGACCAAAAGAAAACAGGUUUUGACUCUAAAAACAAGACUUAAUGAAUGGGGAUUUUGUUUUGGUGAAAUUGAAAGUUAAAACAUAAACUUUGAAAACAAACUUAACAAAAACGAUUUUGGAUGAAAAAGAAUGGUGAAAGG